GCGCCAUUAGCUCAGCUGGUAGAGCAAUUGACUCUUAAUCAAUGGGUCCUAGGUUCGAAUCCUAGAUGGCGCACCA
This 76-nucleotide transfer RNA is filed under the name bacterium. Its description in RNAcentral is "tRNA-Lys". It matches the Rfam family "tRNA". From Rfam's summary of the family: Transfer RNA (tRNA) molecules are approximately 80 nucleotides in length. Their secondary structure includes four short double-helical elements and three loops (D, anti-codon, and T loops). RNAcentral also lists the same sequence under 1 other name. The record is from RNAcentral.